This is a non-coding RNA of Sulfurihydrogenibium sp. YO3AOP1, 354 nucleotides long. NCBI's taxonomy places the organism in Bacteria, Pseudomonadati, Aquificota, Aquificia, Aquificales, Hydrogenothermaceae. The record is from Rfam.
GGGGGCGAUACGGGUUCGACGGCAAGCGGCGAGCAAAGGGAAGCAUGCCGUAGAAGGUCACUACGUAAAAAACCAAAACAAAACAAUUCCCGAACGCGAAAUCGCUCUCGCUGCUUAAUUAACGCAGCGACGUCCUACCUGGCUUGCCCGUAGGCUGGGAUAGGGCGUAAGACAUACGGGAUAGGGCCUUUCCAACCUCCCCUGAGGGAAGGCUCGAAACCUAACGGGGAUAGCUUUAAGCUCCUCUGCCUGUGGAGGAGCUUAGGGCGAAACCUUAAUCACAGGCUAAGCAUGUAGAAGCCCUUUGGGCUUGGCCUUUGCCGGACGGGGGUUCGAUUCCCCCCGCCUCCACUU